RNAcentral lists this ribosomal RNA (465 nucleotides) under Vreelandella stevensii. RNAcentral's name for it is "partial 16S ribosomal RNA". It matches the Rfam family "Bacterial small subunit ribosomal RNA", at positions 338 to 795 of the family's 1533-position model. Lineage: Bacteria; Pseudomonadati; Pseudomonadota; Gammaproteobacteria; Oceanospirillales; Halomonadaceae. The record is from RNAcentral.
CCUACGGGAGGCAGCAGUGGGGAAUACUGGACAAUGGGCGAAAGCCUGAUCCAGCCAUGCCGCGUGUGUGAAGAAGGCCUUCGGGUUGUAAAGCACUUUCAGUGGGGAAGAAAGCCUUGGGGCUAAUACCCUCGAGGAAGGACAUCACCCACAGAAGAAGCACCGGCUAACUCCGUGCCAGCAGCCGCGGUAAUACGGAGGGUGCGAGCGUUAAUCGGAAUUACUGGGCGUAAAGCGCGCGUAGGCGGUCUGAUAAGCCGGUUGUGAAAGCCCCGGGCUCAACCUGGGAACGGCAUCCGGAACUGUCAGGCUAGAGUGCAGGAGAGGAAGGUAGAAUUCCCGGUGUAGCGGUGAAAUGCGUAGAGAUCGGGAGGAAUACCAGUGGCGAAGGCGGCCUUCUGGACUGACACUGACGCUGAGGUGCGAAAGCGUGGGUAGCAAACAGGAUUAGAUACCCGAGUAGUC